GAAGUUAAUGCUUUAUUUACAAACGAUAUAACUUGGAAUAUACGUAGACAGAGUGUAACUUUUGACAGAACAGGGCUAAAAGACGAUUUCUUUCUUUUUGACACUGAACUUUCGACUUUUCAUUUUGGUAAAGCAAGCGCUUAUAUAUGUUUGGGAAGAAAAAAUAAAUUUUUCUUUUGCUAUGUAAAUAAGGUUUUGGAUGCUGACACUUUUGCGCCAUAUACUAAAUUUGGCUGCUUUUAUAGUAAUAAAAUUGCUUGUGGAAAUGCCUACUUGGAUUUUAUGAGAAUUUUUCGUUGGGUGGCACUUUUGUCAUAAAGCCGAACAAUUCCAUAAUUGUCGGUGUCCGAAGCGAGCCUCUUCUUGAUCGUCGCUCGCUUGAAUUCCCACUAGAGCAUCGCGGUAAAUUUCAUCGUCUGCGCACUGGUCAGUCUAAAUGGCCGCCGGACUACUUCUUGAGUUUCUGCGGAUUUGUUUCUGGCCGUUUCCUGUCCGCCGCUUAUGUCCAGUCCAUGCUCUUACCGUUCGAACGAUCCCUUCACCGAUUAUUUUUGGGUGGAGAAUUUUCUCACCAAUCAGAUCGACCGCUUUUUUUUUUUCGAACUUAGAAAGUGGGAAAGGGUCUUCGUGUUCCAGUCUUGCGCUGCCUUUUUAUAAAAAAAAUCCCACCAAUGUUUUAGCGGUGGGCGUUUUAUGGCAGCCGCUGAGAAAUUUAGCUUUAAAAUUAAUAUUAGAUUCUCGAGGCAUUAAUUUAUUUUUUUAUAGUUUCAUUUUAAUUUCUGGUUAUUACUUAUAAUAUGAAAGGGGUUUGCGGUGCACUGGUUGCCUUGCAAUCGCGCCGGUCUUCCAUAACUUUUACAUUGGCCGGAUCAACUCAUAGUGUUGUGGAGCGAAGCUCUCUUAUACUUGGCUGCUUUUUUUCAAUCGACAGCUCUU
Long non-coding RNA from Zophobas morio, 936 nucleotides. RefSeq lists it as uncharacterized. The record is from RefSeq and is a predicted model, not a curated record. The transcript has 7 exons. NCBI's taxonomy places the organism in Eukaryota, Metazoa, Arthropoda, Insecta, Coleoptera, Tenebrionidae.